Molecule: non-coding RNA, 71 nt
Organism: Ostertagia ostertagi
Lineage: Eukaryota; Metazoa; Nematoda; Chromadorea; Rhabditida; Trichostrongylidae
Source: the annotation of a GenBank genome assembly
AGUCACGGCCGGGAAACCAACCCGGGCCGCCCGCGUAGAAGGCGAGCAUUCUGCCACUGAACGACCGGUGC